RNAcentral lists this transfer RNA (105 nucleotides) under Pelodiscus sinensis (Chinese soft-shelled turtle). It matches the Rfam family "tRNA". Rfam says of the family: Transfer RNA (tRNA) molecules are approximately 80 nucleotides in length. Lineage: Eukaryota; Metazoa; Chordata; Testudines; Trionychidae. The record is from Rfam by way of RNAcentral.
GGCUUUGUGAAGCAAUAGAAAGCAUGUUGGACUUUUAAGCUGUAGUGCUCAGUGUGAGCCAGGCCAGUCAUUUAAAGGUUGUGGGUUAAAAUCCCUCCAGAGUCA